Molecule: ribosomal RNA, 120 nt
Filed under: uncultured bacterium
Lineage: Bacteria
Description: partial 16S ribosomal RNA
Rfam family: Bacterial small subunit ribosomal RNA
Source: RNAcentral
UGGGGAAUUUUGGACAAUGGGCGCAAGCCUGAUCCAGCCAUGCCGCGUGCAGGAUGAAGGCCUUCGGGUUGUAAACUGCUUUUGUACGGAACGAAAAAGCUAUUUCUAAUACCAGGGGGU